AGAGUUUGAUCCUGGCUCAGGACAAACGCUGGCGGCGUACCUAAGACAUGCAAGUCGAACGGACUGCACGUCUUCGGAUGUGCAGUGAGUGGCGAACGGGUGAGUAACGCGUAGGAACCCGCCUCGACGUGGGGGAUAACACUUGGAAACAGGUGCUAAUACCGCAUGUGGUCGCAAGAAGAAAGGCCUUCGGGUCGCGU
Molecule: ribosomal RNA, 200 nt
Filed under: uncultured bacterium
Lineage: Bacteria
Description: partial 16S ribosomal RNA
Rfam family: Bacterial small subunit ribosomal RNA
Source: RNAcentral